This 76-nucleotide microRNA precursor is filed under the name Schistosoma margrebowiei. Its description in RNAcentral is "mir-3492 microRNA precursor family". It matches the Rfam family "mir-3492 microRNA precursor family". The record is from Rfam by way of RNAcentral. Lineage: Eukaryota; Metazoa; Platyhelminthes; Trematoda; Strigeidida; Schistosomatidae.
AGCCUUCUGUAUCCGUGCUAAGAUUUCGUCACACACCAGACCACAAGGGCUGAUGAGACCUGGGAGCGUGACCGCA